Molecule: non-coding RNA, 314 nt
Organism: Pelobates cultripes (western spadefoot toad)
Lineage: Eukaryota; Metazoa; Chordata; Amphibia; Anura; Pelobatidae
Source: the annotation of a GenBank genome assembly
GGAGGAGGAGGUAUAUAUAUUUUUUUUUUAUUUUUUUUAAUUGGGACACAGAGUAGCUGUUGACAUUAUAGUUGCUCAGGCACUUUGUUGACUCUAGAGAACCUCGAGCCAAUCGCACAUCCCCGUGACGGCGACUUUGCAUUCGGAUGUCAUCCAUAUCAACUUUCGAUGCCAGUUUCUGCGCCUACCAUGGUGACCAUGGGUAACGGGGAAUCAGGGUUUCAUUCCGUACAGGGACCCUGAGAAACGGCUACCACAUGUAAGGAAGGCAGCAGGCGCGCAAAUGACCCACUCCCACGCGGGAAUAUAUUGAC